RNAcentral lists this long non-coding RNA (332 nucleotides) under Brassica napus (rape). RNAcentral describes it as "long non-coding RNA (BNAP_LNC024704)". The record is from RNAcentral. Lineage: Eukaryota; Viridiplantae; Streptophyta; Magnoliopsida; Brassicales; Brassicaceae.
GCGCUUGUCCAAUCUCCUUGAAAGUCAUGUAAUGAACCUUCCCAUGGACUUUGAACUUGAUCUUUCCCCAUCCUUGCCUCACAUGCUUAGAGGUGUGAAAGGUGGCCUCCAAUGAUGCCAAGAACUGACAUGAGACCUCUUCAUAGGUAGGGUAAGCCAUGGAGAAGAAGCUUUGCAUGUUCAUGUGCUCCAACAUUUUCUUAAUGUCGUCACCUAUUUCCAACUCUUUCAUAAUCUUGAUAUCCGCAAAUCGAGUUGGAGGCCACAACACACCAUUCUUCAAAUGCCCAUAUAGCUCAGAUUCAGUUGGUGUCUUAGUUCUAUCCCUCUCA